RNAcentral lists this ribosomal RNA (467 nucleotides) under uncultured bacterium. Its description in RNAcentral is "partial 16S ribosomal RNA". It matches the Rfam family "Bacterial small subunit ribosomal RNA", at positions 28 to 507 of the family's 1533-position model. The record is from RNAcentral.
GACGAACGCUGGCGGCGUGCUUAACACAUGCAAGUCGAACGGAAAGGCCCUGCUUUUGUGGGGUGCUCGAGUGGCGAACGGGUGAGUAACACGUGAGUAACCUGCCCUUGACUUUGGGAUAACUUCAAGAAACUGGGGCUAAUACCGGAUAGGAGCUCCUGCUGCAUGGUGGGGGUUGGAAAGUUUCGGCGGUUGGGAUGGACUCGCGGCUUAUCAGCUUGUUGGUGGGGUAGUGGCUUACCAAGGCUUUGACGGGUAGCCGGCCUGAGAGGGUGACCGGCCACAUUGGGACUGAGAUGCGGCCCAGACUCCUACGGGAGGCAGCAGUGGGGAAUAUUGCACAAUGGGCGGAAGCCUGAUGCAGCAACGCCGCGUGCGGGAUGACGGCCUUCGGGUUGUAAACCGCUUUCGCCUGUGACGAAGCGUGAGUGACGGUAAUGGGUAAAGAAGCACCGGCUAACUACGUG